CUACGGGCCGCAGCAGUGGGGAAUAUUGGACAAUGGGGGAAACCCUGAUCCAGCAAUGCCGCGUGUGUGAAGAAGGCCUGCGGGUUGUAAAGCACUUUCGGUUGGGAGGACUGCUUCUAGCACUAAUAUUGUUGGAAGUUGACGUUACCUUCAGAAGAAGCACCGGCUAACUCCGUGCCAGCAGCCGCGGUAAUCCGGAGGGUGCAAGCGUUAAUCGGAAUUACUGGGCGUAAAGCGCGCGUAGGCGGCUAGAUCAGUCGGGUGUGAAAGCCCCGGGCUUAACCUGGGAACUGCAUCAGAAACUGUCUAGCUUGAGUACAGGAGAGGAGAGUGGAAUUCCACAUGUAGCGGUGAAAUGCGUAGAUAUGUGGAGGAACACCAAUGGCGAAGGCAGCUCUCUGGCCUGAUACUGACGCUGAGGUGCGAAAGCGUGGGGAGCAAACAGGAUUAGAUACCCUAGUAGUC
RNAcentral lists this ribosomal RNA (465 nucleotides) under uncultured bacterium. Its description in RNAcentral is "partial 16S ribosomal RNA". It matches the Rfam family "Bacterial small subunit ribosomal RNA", at positions 339 to 795 of the family's 1533-position model. The record is from RNAcentral.